RNAcentral lists this ribosomal RNA (253 nucleotides) under uncultured bacterium. Its description in RNAcentral is "partial 16S ribosomal RNA". It matches the Rfam family "Bacterial small subunit ribosomal RNA", at positions 524 to 776 of the family's 1533-position model. The record is from RNAcentral.
UACGGAGGGUGCAAGCGUUGCUCGGAAUUAUUGGGCGUAAAGGGCAGGUAGGUGGUCUCAUUUGUCUGGGGUGAAAUCCUUGGGCUUAACCCAAGAAGUGCCCCAGAAACGGUGAGACUCGAGUACUGGAGAGGGUCGUGGAAUUCCCGGUGUAGCGGUGAAAUGCGUAGAGAUCGGGAGGAACACCAGAGGCGAAGGCGGCGACCUGGACAGUGACUGACACUCAACUGCGAAAGCGUGGGGAGCAAACAGG